UACGUAGGGUGCUAGCGUUGUCCGGAUUUAUUGGGCGUAAAGGGCUCGUAGGCGGCGUGUCGCGUCGGGGAGUGAAAGCCCGCUGCUUAACGGCGGGUUGGCUUCCGGUACGGGCAUCGCUGGAGUGCGGCAGGGGAGACUGGAAUUCCUGGUGUAGCGGUGGAAUGCGCAGAUAUCAGGAGGAACACCGGUGGCGAAGGCGGGUCUCUGGGGCCGUUACUGACGCUGAGGAGCGAAAGCGUGGGGGAGCGAACAGG
RNAcentral lists this ribosomal RNA (257 nucleotides) under uncultured bacterium. RNAcentral's name for it is "partial 16S ribosomal RNA". It matches the Rfam family "Bacterial small subunit ribosomal RNA", at positions 524 to 776 of the family's 1533-position model. The record is from RNAcentral.